AGGCCUGUAGCUCAAUUGGCAGAGCACCUGAUUCCAAAUCAGGCGGUUGGGGGUUCAAGUCCCUCCAGGCCUGCCA
This 76-nucleotide transfer RNA is filed under the name Planctomycetota bacterium. RNAcentral's name for it is "tRNA-Trp". It matches the Rfam family "tRNA". From Rfam's summary of the family: Transfer RNA (tRNA) molecules are approximately 80 nucleotides in length. Their secondary structure includes four short double-helical elements and three loops (D, anti-codon, and T loops). The record is from RNAcentral. Lineage: Bacteria; Pseudomonadati; Planctomycetota.